CCUACGGGAUGCAGCAGUGGGGAAUAUUGCACAAUGGGGGAAACCCUGAUGCAGCGACGCCGCGUGAGUGAAGAAGUAUUUCGGUAUGUAAAGCUCUAUCAGCAGGAACGAGACAAGACGGUACCUGACUAAGAAGCCCCGGCUAACUACGUGCCAGCAGCCGCGGUAAUACGUAGGGGGCAAGCGUUAUCCGGAAUCACUGGGUGGAAAGGGAGCGUAGACGGCUGUGCAAGCCUGAAGUGAAAGGCGGGGGCUCAACCCCUGGACUGCUUUGGGAACUGUACGGCUGGAGUGAUGGAGAGGUAAGGGGAAUUCCUAGUGUAGCGGUGAAAUGCGUAGAUAUUAGGAGGAACACCAGUGGCGAAGGCGGCUUACUGGACUGUAACUGACGUUGAGGCGCGAAAGCGUGGGGAGCAAACAGGAUUAGAUACCCGAGUAGUC
RNAcentral lists this ribosomal RNA (441 nucleotides) under uncultured bacterium. RNAcentral's name for it is "partial 16S ribosomal RNA". It matches the Rfam family "Bacterial small subunit ribosomal RNA", at positions 338 to 795 of the family's 1533-position model. The record is from RNAcentral.